UAUUCGUGAAUCAUCGAAUCUUUGAACGCACAUUGCGCCCUCUGGUAUUCCGGAGGGCAUGCCUGUUUGAGCGUCGUUU
Molecule: ribosomal RNA, 79 nt
Filed under: uncultured soil eukaryote
Lineage: Eukaryota
Description: partial 5.8S ribosomal RNA
Rfam family: 5.8S ribosomal RNA
About the family: 5.8S ribosomal RNA (5.8S rRNA) is a component of the large subunit of the eukaryotic ribosome. It is transcribed by RNA polymerase I as part of the 45S precursor that also contains 18S and 28S rRNA. Functionally, it is thought that 5.8S rRNA may be involved in ribosome translocation.
Source: RNAcentral